GAAUGAAUGGGUGGGUUAGUGUGUAAAUGAAUGGGUGAGUUAGUGUGUGAGUGGGUUAGUGUGUGAAUGAGUCAGUGGGUUAGUGUGUGAAUGGGUGGGUUAGUGUGUGAAUGAGUGAGUUCGUGUGUGAAUGGGUGAGUUAGUGUGUGAAUGAGUGGGUGAGUUAGUGUGUGAAUGAGAGGGUGUGUGAACGAGUGGGUUAGUGUGUAAAUGAGUGGGUGUGUGAACGAGUGGGUGAGUUGGUGUGUGAAAGAGUGGGUUAGUGCAUGAAUGGGUGGGUUAGUGUGUGAAUGGGUUGUGAACGAGUGGGUGAGUUAGUGUGUGAAUGAGUGGGUGAGUGUGUGAAUGAAUGGGUUAGUGUGUGAAUGAGUAGGUGAGUUAGUGUGUGAAUGAGAGGGUGUGAAUGAGUGGGUUAGUGUGUGAAUGAGUGGGUUAGUGUGCAAAUGAAUGGGUGAGUUUGUGAAUGGGUUAGUGUAUGAAUGAGUCGGUUUAGUGUGUGAAUGAGUGUGUGAAUGAGUAGGUAAGUUAGUGCGUGAACGAGUGGGUGAGUUAGUGUGUGAAUGAGUCGGUGAGUUAGUGUGUGAAUGAAUGGGUUAGUGUGUGAAUGAGUGGGUGGGUUAGUGUGUGAAUGGAUGAGUUAGUGUGUGAAUGAGUGGGUUAGUGUGUGAAUGAGUCGGUGGGUUAGUGUGUGAAUGAG
Molecule: long non-coding RNA, 697 nt
Filed under: Homo sapiens (human)
Lineage: Eukaryota; Metazoa; Chordata; Mammalia; Primates; Hominidae
Description: non-protein coding lnc-NKD2-3:6
Source: RNAcentral